RNAcentral lists this ribosomal RNA (372 nucleotides) under uncultured organism. RNAcentral describes it as "bacterial SSU rRNA". It matches the Rfam family "Bacterial small subunit ribosomal RNA", at positions 526 to 896 of the family's 1533-position model. The record is from RNAcentral.
CGAAGGUGGCAAGCGUUACUCGGAAUUACUAAGCGUAAAGCGCAGGUAGGCGGUUGGAUAAGUUUCUUGUGAAAGCUCCUGGCUUAACUGGGAGAGGUCAAGGAAUACUGUUCGACUAGAGUGUGGUAGGGGUAACUGGAAUUCCCGGUGUAGCGGUGAAAUGCGUAGAUAUCGGGAGGAAUACCUAUGGCGAAGGCAGGUUACUGGGCCAUCACUGACGCUGAGCUGCGAAAGCUAGGGGAGCAAACAGGAUUAGAUACCCUGGUAGUCCUAGCCCUAAACGAUGUUCAUUAGAUGUGGGAGGUAUCGACCCCUUCCGCGUCGGCGCUAACGCAUUAAAUGAACCGCCUGGGGAGUACGGCCGCAAGGUUG